AUUACUUCUUAGCCUUUUGGCUGAGAUAAGUGUAGUAUCGGUUCUUACCACCUAAACAUCUGAUGCAUCCUCUAUCCAAGGACAACAUAUUAAAUGGAUUUUUGGAGCAAGGAGAUGGAACAGGAGCUUGCUCCAUUCACUCCAUGCAUUGACCUGGUAUUGCAGUACUUCCGGGAAUGGUGCACCCCCU
Molecule: small nuclear RNA, 190 nt
Organism: Manis pentadactyla (Chinese pangolin)
Lineage: Eukaryota; Metazoa; Chordata; Mammalia; Pholidota; Manidae
Product: U2 spliceosomal RNA
Exons: 1
Source: RefSeq, a predicted model, not a curated record